Molecule: non-coding RNA, 73 nt
Organism: Canis lupus familiaris (dog)
Lineage: Eukaryota; Metazoa; Chordata; Mammalia; Carnivora; Canidae
Source: Rfam
ACCUGGCUGGCUCAGUCAGUGGAGCAGGUGACUCUUGAUCUCAGUGUUAUGAGUUCAAGCCCCAUGUUGGGUG